RNAcentral lists this ribosomal RNA (468 nucleotides) under uncultured bacterium. Its description in RNAcentral is "partial 16S ribosomal RNA". It matches the Rfam family "Bacterial small subunit ribosomal RNA", at positions 28 to 507 of the family's 1533-position model. The record is from RNAcentral.
GACGAACGCUGGCGGCGUGCUUAACACAUGCAAGUCGAACGGCAAGGCCCUGCUUUUGUGGGGUGCUCGAGUGGCGAACGGGUGAGUAACACGUGAGUAACCUGCCCUUGACUUUGGGAUAACUUCAGGACACUGGGGCUAAUACCGGAUAGGAGCUCCUGCUGCCUGGUGGGCUUUGGAAAGUUUCGGCGGUUGGGGAUGGACUCGCGGCUUAUCAGCUUGUUGGUGGGGUAGUGGCUUACCAAGGCUUUGACGGGUAGCCGGCCUGAGAGGGUGACCGGCGACAUUGGGACUGAGAUACGGCCCAGACUCCUACGGGAGGCAGCAGUGGGGAAUAUUGCACAAUGGGCGGAAGCCUGAUGCAGAAACGCCGCGUGCGGGAUGACGGCCUUCGGGUUGUAAACCGCUUUCGCCUGUGACGAAGCGUGAGUGACGGUAAUGGGUAAAGAAGCACCGGCUAACUACGUG